Molecule: long non-coding RNA, 436 nt
Organism: Branchiostoma floridae (Florida lancelet)
Lineage: Eukaryota; Metazoa; Chordata; Leptocardii; Amphioxiformes; Branchiostomatidae
Exons: 2
Source: RefSeq, a predicted model, not a curated record
AUAAAUCUUGGGAUACUUAUACACAUUACUUAAAGUGCUGUUACAGCACACAGGGUACCUGCCAUCAUGGAGACUGGCAAUCUGUACUAAGCUGUCUGGCGCCAUGGCUCAUCCUGAUGAUACAGUGUGCAGAGAUAAGUGGAAGUGACUGGGUCAAGCCUACAGAGGAAUCCCUCCAUCAGUCAACCUGACAGAGGUCCAGAGAAAUAAGCAGGACUUCAGCCCAGUAAAUUGUAAUCCCCUCUGGUAGGCAGGAUCGAUAAGGUGGGAGCUGGAUCCUAACCAGAGUUGAUAUCAGCCCUUCCAGAGGACGCCAGGAGAGCUAAUUAUAUGAAUAACCACCAGGAAAAGGUGGUGACCUUGUCAAUGGUGCUGGGUCAGGACAAUGUGGGACAAACAUUCAUGAUCUUCAAAAUAGUGCAUGAAACACAACUAU